This 428-nucleotide ribosomal RNA is filed under the name uncultured bacterium. RNAcentral's name for it is "bacterial SSU rRNA". It matches the Rfam family "Bacterial small subunit ribosomal RNA", at positions 355 to 776 of the family's 1533-position model. The record is from RNAcentral.
UCGAGAAUUUUUCUCAAUGGGCGAAAGCCUGAAGGAGCGACGCCGCGUGGGGGAUGAAGGGCUUCGGCCUGUAAACCCCUGUCAUUUGCGAACAAACCUUCCGACCUAACACGUCGGAAGCUGAUUGUAGCGGAAGAGGAAGGGACGGCUAACUCUGUGCCAGCAGCCGCGGUAAUACAGAGGUCCCAAGCGUUGUUCGGAUUCACUGGGCGUAAAGGGUGCGUAGGUGGUGAGGUAAGUUCGGUGUGAAAUCUCCAGGCUUAACCUGGAAAUUGCAUUGAAUACUCUCUCACUUGAGGUUUGGAGGGGGGACUGGAAUUCUCGGUGUAGCAGUGAAAUGCGUAGAUAUCGAGAGGAACACCAGUGGCGAAGGCGAGUCCCUGGACAACACCUGACACUGAGGCACGAAAGCUAGGGGAGCAAACAGG